This 468-nucleotide ribosomal RNA is filed under the name uncultured bacterium. RNAcentral's name for it is "partial 16S ribosomal RNA". It matches the Rfam family "Bacterial small subunit ribosomal RNA", at positions 28 to 507 of the family's 1533-position model. The record is from RNAcentral.
GACGAACGCUGGCGGCGUGCUUAACACAUGCAAGUCGAACGGAAAUGCCCUGCUUUUGUGGGGUGCUCGAGUGGCGAACGGGUUAGUAACACGUGAGUAACCUGCCCUUUACUUUGGGAUAACUUCAGGCAACUGUUUCUCAUACCGGAUAGGAGCUCCUUCUGCAUGGUUGGGUUUUGAAAGUUUCGGCGGUUGGGGAUGGACUCGCGGCUUAUCCGCUUGUUGGUGGGGUAGUGGCUUACCAAGGCUUUGACGGGUAGCCGGCCUGAGAGGGUGACUGGCCACAUUGGGACUGAGAUACGGCCCAGACUCCUACGGGAGGCAGCAGUGGGGAAUAUUGCACAAUGGGCGGAAGCCUGAUGCAGGAACGCCGCGUGCGGGAUGACGGCCGUCGGGUUGUAAACCGCUUUCGACGGUGACGAAGCGUGAGUGACGGUAAUGGGUAAAGAAGGACAGGCUAACUACGUG